GAACGUGAGGGCAAUCUGGCUGCAGCAUCUGUCACCCCAUUGAUCGCCAGGGUUGAUUUGGCUGAUCUGGCUGGCUAGGCGGGUGUCCCCUGCCUCCCUCACCACUCCCCGUGCAUCCUUCCCGAAGCUGUGCGCUCAGUCGAAGAGGACGACCUUCCCUGAAUAGAGGAGGACGGGUCUUCAGUCAAGGGUAUACGAGUAGCUGCACCUCCUUGCUAGAACCUCCAAACAAGCUCUCAAGAAUAUACAAUGGAGUUUGGGGAAACAGCUCAACAGUUAGAAGCAUUUGCCAUUUAAGCAUG
Molecule: small nuclear RNA, 302 nt
Filed under: Jaculus jaculus (lesser Egyptian jerboa)
Lineage: Eukaryota; Metazoa; Chordata; Mammalia; Rodentia; Dipodidae
Description: 7SK RNA (ENSJJAG00000008051.1)
Rfam family: 7SK RNA
About the family: 7SK was discovered as an abundant small nuclear RNA in the mid-70s but a possible function has only recently been suggested. Two independent studies have found that 7SK RNA binds the CDK9/cyclin T complex (known as elongation factor P-TEFb).
Source: Rfam by way of RNAcentral